Ictalurus furcatus (blue catfish) is the source of this 714-nucleotide long non-coding RNA. RefSeq lists it as uncharacterized. Lineage: Eukaryota; Metazoa; Chordata; Actinopteri; Siluriformes; Ictaluridae. The record is from RefSeq and is a predicted model, not a curated record. The transcript has 3 exons.
UUGUACAGCGUGGAAUUGAAAUAUGUGUCAUCUUGCCAUAACAUCCACUUAUCUUAGUGUUUGAUGAGUCAGAGUGUCAACAUCUAAUGAGAGUGAACAGUUUCUACUAGAUUAUUCACCAUCGUUCCUUUUUUCACGUUUCAUCUCUUUGCCCUCUUCAGCUGCACGUACGUUUUAGUUCACCAGUCGCCAUGACAACCAGCGUGCUGCCGUGCUGUUGCCCGGCAACUUGUCACCAGUAGCCGUGGUUUUGAGUGGCUGAGUGGGACUGAGAAGUCUCCAUAAAGGCAGCCGGUGCAGGGUGUACAGCUAAUGGGCCCAGACUGUGGCUUGUUAGGGCAGGUUUGGCCAAACAGAAGCUAAUUUGGCUGAAAGAGAUCAAGAAGAAGGAGAAGAAGGACACUUACUUUUCUUGGCAGUGUUCCAAGGCAUGGUCUGAAAUCUGCUUCAGGUUGAUCAGCUUAUCUCCUCGGAUGCUACACUGAGCGUCCACGAUCCUCUCAGCCAGAGACUCGGAAGAAAACCCUGCAAACUGAAGCACGAACAGUGUGACACAGUGAACAGCAAGGCAAUAGAAAAGCACACUUUUGUCAGCAUUCAGUGUAUACGAACCUGCUGCAAAUGACAGAUUCUGGUGCAUACAUACCACAAUCGAAUGCACUGCCCCUAUUCGAGCACAGGCCAGCAUGGUGAACACAAGCUCGGGGAUCAUAG